AGUGAACGCUGGCGGUAGGCCUAACACAUGCAAGUCGAACGGCAGCACAGUAAGAGCUUGCUCUUACGGGUGGCGAGUGGCGGACGGGUGAGGAAUACAUCGGAAUCUACUUUUUCGUGGGGGAUAACGUAGGGAAACUUACGCUAAUACCGCAUACGACCUACGGGUGAAAGCAGGGGACCUUCGGACCUUGCGCGAUUGAAUGAGCCGAUGUCGGAUUAGCUAGUUGGCGGGGUAAAGGCCCACCAAGGCGACGAUCCGUAGCUGGUCUGAGAGGAUGAUCAGCCACACUGGAACUGAGACACGGUCCAGACUCCUACGGGAGGCAGCAGUGGGGAAUAUUGGACAAUGGGCGCAAGCCUGAUCCAGCCAUACCGCGUGGGUGAAGAAGGCCUUCGGGUUGUAGAGCCCUUUUGUUGGGAAAGAAAAGCAGCAGGUUAAUACCCCGCUGUUCUGACGGUACCCGAAGAAUAAGCACCGGCUAACUUCGUG
Molecule: ribosomal RNA, 492 nt
Filed under: uncultured bacterium
Lineage: Bacteria
Description: partial 16S ribosomal RNA
Rfam family: Bacterial small subunit ribosomal RNA
Source: RNAcentral